AUUGAACGCUGGCGGCAUGCCUUACACAUGCAAGUCGAACGGUAACAGGUCUUCGGACGCUGACGAGUGGCGAACGGGUGAGUAAUACAUCGGGACGUGCCCAGUCGUGGGGGAUAACUACUCGAAAGAGUAGCUAAUACCGCAUACGAUCUGAGGAUGAAAGCGGGGGACCUUCGGGCCUCGCGCGAUUGGAGCGGCCGAUGGCAGAUUAGGUAGUUGGUGGGAUAAAAGCUUACCAAGCCGACGAUCUGUAGCUGGUCUGAGAGGACGACCAGCCACACUGGGACUGAGACACGGCCCAGACUCCUACGGGAGGCAGCAGUGGGGAAUUUUGGACAAUGGGCGAAAGCCUGAUCCAGCAAUGCCGCGUGCAGGAUGAAGGCCUUCGGGUUGUAAACUGCUUUUGUACGGAACGAAAAAGUCUCCUCUAAUACAGGAGGCCCAUGACGGUACCGUAAGAAUAAGCACCGGCUAACUACGUGCCAGCAGCCGCCGUAA
This 498-nucleotide ribosomal RNA is filed under the name uncultured bacterium. RNAcentral describes it as "partial 16S ribosomal RNA". It matches the Rfam family "Bacterial small subunit ribosomal RNA", at positions 30 to 523 of the family's 1533-position model. The record is from RNAcentral.